RNAcentral lists this long non-coding RNA (17689 nucleotides) under Xyrichtys novacula (pearly razorfish). The record is from RNAcentral. Lineage: Eukaryota; Metazoa; Chordata; Actinopteri; Labriformes; Labridae.
GAUUUGGGGAGUUUUUCCCAUUCUUCCUUGCACAUCCUCUCAAGCUCAGUGAGGUUGGAUGGGCAGUGUCGGUGCACAGCUACUUUCAGGUCUUUCCAAAGAUGUUCAAUCGGGUGCAAGUCUGGGCUCUGGCUGGGCCACUCAAGGACAUUCAGAGACUUGUCCUGAAGCCACUCCUUUGUCUUCUUAGCCGUGUGCUUAAGGUCAUUGUCAUGCUGGAAGAUGAAGUGUCGACCCAGUCGAAGGUCUAGAGCGCUCUGGAGCAGGUUUUCAUCAAGGAUUUCGAUGUACUUAGCUGCAUUCAUUUUCCCCUCGAUCCUGACAAGUCUCCCAGUUUCUGCCACUGAAAAACAUCCCCACAGCAUGAUGCUGCCACCACCAUGCUUCAGUGUAGGGACGGUAUUGGCGAGGUGGUGAGCGGUGCCUGGAUUCCUCCAGACAAGACGCUUGGCAUUCAGGCCAAAGAGUUUGAUCUUCGUUUCCUCGGACCAGAGAAUUUUGUUUCUCCCGGGGCCUGUUCUACGAAGCAGGAUUACUGCUUAGCGAGGUAACUUCGAGGAUAAGUUCGGGGUUUCCUGUUCUACGACGCGGGUUCACCUCUUAGCGAGGCGAGUCUCCAUAGCAACAUACGCUGAACGGCUAAACUGCUCCGGGGCAGGUUGAGUUCCAGAUUGAACUCAAAGAGUAUAAGAACCCCGCCCACUGACCAAUGAGCUCUCUCGAAAAACGGCUUGUCCGUUCUCGGAGGAUCCUGUAGACAUCGGUUCUCGCAUUGUCCGAGGAGGAGCACUCCGGCUCGCGAGAGUUUACAGGGAGAGUUUUCUCCGGAUGACCACCUUUAUGAAAGGCUCAUAUGGCCGACAUACUACACAAAACAUGUAAACACGAUAGGAAUAAACAAAUGAAUGAUUCAUUUUGGAAAUGAAUGGGCAUGGGCUGCGCGAUCACAGACAACAUCUCGGUACUAUUUGGUAGCAGCGCACGCCGCUUAUAAUAGCCCCGUAAAUACUGUUGUUCAGGACUGCUUACUUGUGCUUCCUACCUACUGUAACAACCGUUGUUCUAGCCCACAUGCAACAUUUUUGUUCUCAUUCAUGAAACGCUUAAAUCGGGGACAUUUUCGGGGACAGCUUUAGCCGGGGACAGAUCAUCCAAUUCGGGGACUGUCACCUUAGUUAAAAGUGCGUGUUGAACAGUGCUAUUUCAGGGUGAUAAUGGCUUCAAAGAUGCAUUUUCUGCCAGCAUUCCUUCCGUGCUUUUGCAGCGGCGACGGUGUUGCUUUUGAGGUUUAUGAUAGCUUUCAAUUCUUCAUACUUUCUCAUGAUCGUCUUCUGCUCCUCGUUUGUAAAGUACGCGGUCCUUCACUCUCCAGCCUGCUCUGACGCUCCAGACUGAUCCAUGUUCGCGAUUGGUCAGAUGCGGCGGGCUCCGCCUUAUAUGUGUGCACGCGCUCAUAGCAGAGCUGGAUCCACUUAUGAGGUUGAUAACCAGCGUCGUGAAACCGCUUAGCGAGACCGCUGGCUACCACGCUAAGUUGAGCGAGGUAGCUCCAAGGCUACCUCGCUAGGUUGAACCUGUUUCGUAGAACAGGCCCCGGGUCUGUGAGUCCUUCAGGUGCCUUCUAGCAAAGUCCAAGCGGGCUGUCAUGUGCUUUUUACUGAGGAGUGGCUUCUGUCUGGCCACUCUACCAGUGUUGUUUUCGUCAGGCAGGACGAAAACGACGUCAGACUCCUUUUUUCCUUGACGAAAAUGCGACUAAGACGAACGUCACCAAAGCUCUGUAAAGACUAAAAUGUGACGAAAAUUGUAUUCAUUUUCGUCAGACGAGAACGAGACGAGACUAAAUUGUUAUUAGGUGGACGAACAAAGUUUCAAAACAUGCUUUUUUUUGUCCUAACAGUCACGCCCCCAUCACACACGCAACAAAAGCCUCGCUCGCGCACAGCUGCGCGCACACACUCAUACACAUACACAGAGCGGCAGGUGGACGAGGCGCGCACACACACACACCGUGGCGGCAGGCACAGCAGCGGUGCCCAGUGGCCGAAAAAAGAGGGAUGCCUUAUGGUCCUACUUCAGAUACAGUCCAAGUGACAAUAAAACACAAUGUCUUGUACAGGGACGGGGAGACGAGACAGCCGACAGUUGUGGAGCCACAGCUUCCUCAUGCUGCGGCUUCAAACUGUCGGGAAAGAACACCACGAACCUCAAAAGGCACCUUUUCGAGAGACUAAAACUAGACUAAAACCUUUUGAGUUUUCGUCGGACUAAAACUAGACGAAAACUAUCAAGGAUAGAAAUGACUAAAAUGGGACUAAAACGAGGAAGCAUUUCGUCAAAAUGACUAAGACUAAAACUAAAUCUAAAAUGCCUGCCAAAAACAACACUGCACUCUACCAUAAAUGCCUGACUGGUGGAGUGCUGCAGAGAUGGUGGUCCUUCUGUAGGGUUCUCCCAUCUCCUCAGAGGAACGCUGGAACUCUGUCAGAGUGACCAUCGGGUUCUUCGUCACCUCCCUGACCAAGGCCCUUCUCCCCCGCUUGCUCAUUUCGGCUGGGCGGCCAGCUCUAGGAAGAGUCCUGGUGGUUCCAAACGUCUCCCAUUUCUUAAUGAUGGAGACCACUGUGCUUUUUGGGAUCUUCAAUGCAGCAGAUAUUUUUCUGUAACCUUCCCCAGAUCUGUGCACCGAUACAACCCUGUUUUGGACCUCUAUAGACAAUUCUUUCGACUUCAUGGCUUGGUUUGUGCUCUGACGUGCUCUAUCAGCUGUGGGAUCUUAUAUAGACAGGUGUGGCUUUCCAAAUCAUGUCCAAUCAGCUGAAUUUGCCACAGGUGGACUGCAAUCAAGUUGGAGGAACAUUUUAAGGCUGAUCAGUGGAAACAGGAUGCACCUGAGCUCAAUUUUGAGUUUUAUAGCAAAGGGUGUGAAUACUUAUGUAUAUGCAACAUUUGAGUGUCUUAUUUUUAAUAAAUUUGCAAAAUGUUCUAGAAAAGUUUUGCGCUUUGUCAGUAUUGGGUAUUUUGUGUAGAAUUUUUGAGGGAAAAGGGGAAUUUAAUUUAUUUUGGAAUUAUUUUGGAGUGAGGCUGUAAAAUGUUGAAAAAGUGAAGUGGUUUGAAUACUUUCCAGAUGCACUGUAGUUUACUGCCCCAAAAAGUCACUUUGAGGGUCUCUGAUAAAGUGCUAUAUGAAAUCUGAUCAACCAAAUAAAUUAGAAUUUUAAGCACAAGAAAAUAAUUUAUAUCUGAUUAAUUACUUUAUAACAGCAAAUACUACAGAGAUAGAAAAUGUACCUAACAUUUUGAGUAAAACGAGGCUCCUGCCUAUGAAAAACAAGUGGACUUUACUUAAUUUGUUUGAAAAAAUAUAACUUUAAACUUGGAUGUAAUUGAGUAAAUGUUACUUAAUAUCUUCACAUCUGUUAUGUUUUAUGGAAAGUAAAAUUUACUUGAUACUGGCAAGUGAGUGUUAAUUGACAUUACAGCAUUAAAUUUUCCUUAAAUCAUGUGUGCAAAUACUAACAAUAUAUAUAUAUUUUUAAGUAAAUCUUAUGAGUUAUUUUUUUCAGUGCAAUAGUUCACAACUCAAGACACGACCCACAAAAUCACAAUUAAAGCUGACAAUAAAAUGACAAAAACAUUAAGGAUUAAAAUCAAGUCAUGAUAAAGUGCUCUAGACAACAACCAUUCUAAAACAAUACUCUGCAAAGUGCUAAAAUGCAUUUGAGUCUCCCUAAAAUCAUACAUUAUAUAGUAAAGUGAAUCAUCUAAUGCUCAUUUUGUUAAAAAGUUUAAUAUCUGCAGGUACAACAGUAUUUCUGUGGUGUUUUGUUCUCCUUUUAGGAGCGACAAAGCAACACUGUAAACAGAGAAGCUGUAACUCUGAGUUUAGAGGGUGAGAUGAGUCAUGGUAGACAGAGCUUGCUUCCAGCCUCUCACAGGUAUUCACAGUGAAAGGACAAAGUCUUUUGGAGAGGUGGUCUGUCAUAGAAAGUUUGUUGAACUCUGAGUGAAAGCAGAGGGAGGUGAAGUUUGGAUCCUGAGUUCUGACAGGAAGCUGCUCUGGUUUUAUUCACAGUGGUCCUGUUCAUGAUGCAGCCUGCAUACAAUUACCAUUAAUGUGGCUGCAGCUUUGCAACAAUGUGUGUGUGUGUGUGUGUGUGUGUGUGUGUGUGUGUGUGUGUGUGUGUGUGUGUGUGUGUGUGUGUGUGUGUGUGUGUGUGUGUGUGUGUGAAAGAGAAAGAGAAAGAGAAAGAAAAAGAGAGAGAACUUGUAAUGCGCAUAUUAAACACAGUGACGGUGAAAUCGGGUAAUGUGGGGUGAUGUAAACUCACACAGAGAGGAGAGGGGGGUCUAAUAGAGAGGAGAAAGAGGCUGAGCUGAGGAGGUGCUGCCAGUCUGCACGUACGCCACCACAUGAGGGGGGUGGAGGGGGGGUGGGGGCUGGCAGAGCGGUGACAGGGUGAAGUCUCACGUCGCCUGUUGGCACGCAGAGAUCUGAGCAGAUCACGUCACAGAGCGGGCAUGAAUGCUCUUUGUGGGACAUGAUGAAUGUAAUCAUUCAUGUCGAUUGGAGGGAGCUAAAUUUGAGCUGAUGAGGAUGGGGAGGGUGGCGGCCAUCAAAAGGUCCUCUCUGGUCAGGGAAGGUGAUCUCUGUCAGCUGAAUGUGGCAUCUAAAUCACUCUGUGAAUCAUUAGGUUCAUCCUGUCCUACUGGUGUCCUCCUGAGCUUCAUCUCCAGCUCCAACUGGAACACUUCACCCAGCCCAGACGGCUUUAUGGGUCACCAGGGACCCAGCAUGGAGAGGAAGCCAAGUGGGAAAAUCCUCUGAUCUGAGCUCCGCUGCAGGAGGUUUGACAGAAAGAGUGUCUGUGCUUUAACAGACACUGUGAUCUUACCAUAUAUGAUACUACAGCUCCUAUUCCACUCACAACACAUUAAUUUAAACACGCCAGAAAACCCAACAGCUGUGGCAGCAACACAGACUAUCAUUAAUUUAUGUAUUUUCUUGUUAAUGUAUGCAGGCCCUCACUCAAAAUGCAUGACUGGGCCUUUAAUGCAAGGACGGAUUCAGCCAUAAAAAAAAGAAGCAUGCAUUUAUGAGUCAAACAGAGGAAGGUUAGAGUUUGCACAUUAUAACAGAGUUUCUACAAAUGCUGGUUUCUAUGGUGUCUUAUAGACAGCCAGCACUUUGUUUCUGCAAUUGAUUACUGAACUACACUUUAAAUUUGAACAGUGAGUCUUGAAGACUUUUAUUGUCUUGAAUGACCUUUGCAAGACUGUACAUGUUUUAUUGAAUUAUGUAUUGUAUUGUCUUGUAUUGUAUUGUUUGUUUUAUUUGUGGACCCCAGGAAGAGUAGCUGCUACCUUGGUGGCAGCUAAUGGGGAUCCGUAUGAAUAAAGAAUGAAUAAAGAAUGAAUAAAGAAUGAAUAAAGAGGUUGCAGUGUGAGAGCUGGCAGGUGUGUGGCUGGAACUGCUGAGGAUCCACAGCUUGCAGUAUGAAAAGAUCUGGAGCACCUCCUACAGGAGAAACUGAGUCAGUUGGUAUGCUCUUUUUGAGCUUCUCUGUGUGUUAAACUCUGCUGUUAUUGUAAUCUUGAUAUAUCACAUAGAUCCAGUGGUGGACAAAGUACUCAACUCCAUCACUUGAGUAAAAGUAAAUAUACUCCUAGUCAAAUUUUACUCCAAUACAAGUGAAAGAUGCUCAGUAAAAUUUUGACUUAAGUUAAAGUUUUGGAGUAUCUGUUUUUGAAAAUACUUAAAGUACAGUUACGUUUUUAUGUUAAUGCCUUAUUGUGUUGUUGCCACAAUGAAUUUACAGAACAUAACAACUGAGACUACCUGCUGGAUGACCUGCUUGUAGAACCUGUAGAACGAAAAACUUGUAGGUUAUGCUUCGAAGCCUAAAGAAAUAACUAAAACCCAAGUGAAUCGACAAAUCGACACAAUUCGUUGCUUUAUUUGUAAGUGCAAGUUAAAGCUCUGCUGUGCAAAGCAAAAGCCAUUCAUCAACAACAUCCAGAAACACCGCUGGCUUCUCUGGGCCCGAGCUCAUCUAAGAUGGACUAAUGCAAGGUGGAGAAGUGUUCUGUGGUCUGACGAGUCCUCAUUUCAAAUUAUUUUUGGAAAUAGUGGACGUCGUGUCCUUCAGGCCAAAGAUGGAAAGAACCAUCUGGACUGUUAUCGAUGCAAAGUUCAAAAGCCAGCAUCUGUGAUGGUAUGGGGGUGCAUUAGUGCCCAAGGCAUGGGUAACUUCCACAUCUGUGAAGGCAACAUCAAUGCUGAAAGGUACAUACAGGUUUUGGAGCGACAUAUGCUGCCAUCCAAGCAACGUCUUUUUCAUGGAUGCCCCUGCUUAUUUCAGCAAGACAAUGCCAAGCCACAUUCUGCACGUGUUACAACAGCGUGGCUUCGUAGUAAAAGAGUGCGGGUACUCGUCUGGCCUGCCAGCAGUCCAGACCUGUCUUCCAUUGAAAAUGUGUGGCGCAUUAUGAAGUAUAAAAUAUGACAACGGAGACCCCAGACUGUUGAACAACUGAAGCUGUACAUCAAGCAAGAAUGGGACAGAAUUCCACCUUCAAAGCUUCAACGAUCAGUCUCCUCGGUUCCCAAACAUUUAUUGAGUGUUGUUAAAAGGAAAGGUGAUGUAACACAGUGGUAAACAUGCUCCUGUCCCAACUACUUUGUCACGCGUUGCAGCCAUGAAAUUCUGAAGUUAAUUAUGAUUUGCAAAAAAAAAAUAAAGUUUAUGAGUUUGAACAUCAAAUAUCUUGUCUUUGUAGUGUAUUCAGUUGAAUAUAGGUUGAAAGGGAUUUGAAAAUCAUUGUAUUCUGUUUUUAUUUACGUUUAUCACCAUUUCCCAACUUCAUUGGAAUUGGGUUUUGUAUCUGCCUCAAGUGGACUGAAUCUGGACGAAGCAAUGUCAGUGUGCUCCAGGAUUUGCAUGUCAGGCUUUGACCCAGCAAUCACCAUAGUUACUGGGUUGUGAACAUAGACUGUAUAUAGAAUGGACGCCGUCUGCCUCCUCGCGGGGUGAAGCCACUCCGAGAACAGCACCCUCUGUUGAUGGGCUGCAGUAUAGGUCAUAAAUCCCGCCUCCGCCAGCAAAGCUUAUGGAGCUGUGGACCAAAUUUAGAAAUUAAUUACACAGAACAUAAAUUUUUCUCCCCCCUGCUUGGGAUUUUGACAUGUAAUUAUUGUAAGACUGGUUUGUGCUCAAGUCCUCUUUUUUCUGUGCAGCUCCGUUUUUAAAAGUUAUUGGGGGUUAAUGUUUUCUAUGAUUGACACCUGAUACAGCCUAUGGGCGUUCAGGGAUUGAGUCGCUCUCCCGGGGGAUACACUGUUUGAGCCGAGCGUCAUCAUAGUGACUCUGCGACUGAGAGUACCGAGAGCUUUUUGGCUUCAAAUCCGUAUACAGGCGGUAGGCGGAACCAGGUUGUCCAUAGUAUAUACAGUCUAUGGUUUUGAACAAAACUUCCAAAAAAGAAGACAGAAUGUUAAAGGGGACCUGCCAUCAAAAAUAUUAUUUUGUGUGUUUUUUGUGUCAGAUAAGGUCCAUAUUAUGUCCAUCUUAUGUUGUAAAUGUGAAAACAAACGUCUUUUGCAUUCUGUAAAGCUUUAAAAUAAAGGAACGGGUAAACCAGGCCAAUUGAAAAAGCAGGUCCUUUUGACGUCACGCUGACCUUGCUCAUUAUUAUUCAGGAGCGCGUUCUCAGUGAGCUGUGCCCACUCUCUCGUUCUUGUACUCAGUCACAGUCAACAUCAUUCUACAGCCAGAGCGAGACGCAGCUACCACUGUACCCGCUAUGGGUCUCUUCCAAACGACCAGUGUUUCCUUGGGUUCACUGCCGGGAAAAUGAACUUAAAGCUGGACAGAAUGAAUGAGAAAACACCGCUGGAGAUCUCUGGCUUCUUCUUCAACUUCCACCUCCUCUUCGGACUCGGGGUAUAAAAUAUAUGGUUCAAUACCUGCCAUUUUUAGCCUUUAGCAUAAGGUGACCAGACGUCCCCGAUUUCCGGGGACAGUCCCCGAAUUGGAUGACCUGUCCCCGGCAAAAGCUGUCCCCGAUUUAAGCGUUUCAUGAAUGACAGCAAAAAUGUUGCGUGUGAGCUCAAACAACGGUUAUUACAGUAGCCGAAUGGGUAGGAAGCACAAGUUAGCAGUCCUGAAGAACAGUUCUUACGGGGGUUAUUACAAGGGGCAUGCGCUGCUACUAAAUAGUACCGAGAUGUUGUCUGUGAUCACACAGCUCCUGCACCCUCCCUGCCGCCGUCGCUGCACCGAAUAUCCCCGGAUAUCAUUACACACAUUAGCACACAUUAGCAAAAUGGAUAAACCGAAAUCCGAACCUCCACUGCUGAGCCAAUCAGAGCACAGCAGGCUUCACAGCAGCGAUCCAAUCAGAGCAAAGCUCAUUACCAUAAAUGUUAAUGAGCCAAAAUCCGUUGGUUUUCCUGAAAGGUUUUUUAGGCAUACUAAAAACAAACCAUCAAAUAACUUUUCAGCUAAAAUUAUGUUGCAAACAUGAUCAGAGGACAUCAAGGAUAUUGAAAAAAUGAUAAAAAUGGGUAUGAAAUUUUGAUGGCAGGUCCCCUUUAAAAAAAAAAUGAGGAGGCAGCCUAUCAUAUGAACUAAGGGAACAGCGCUUCAAAGUAGUCUGUGUUUGCAGCUAAGUAAUGGUUUUUUAGGUAUGUGACAUAGUUAGCCAACCACAAGAUGCCCCAUUCAGUUGUAUUUGCCUGAAUAACAUGUCACAGCAUGAGCUUGCACAGCUUUCUGCACUUUCAAAGAGAGAUUGUUGUUCAGCAGGCUAUCAUAGCACUCUAGCAUUUUUUCAGUCUGCUGGGAUCAAAAUUUACCAAUAACCAAAUUCUCUUUGGAAGACUUUUGAAAAAGGCUCAUGCAGGACUCUAUUAGUUUGAUGUUUGCUGUCAAAAACUUUGGGGAAACAUUUCUUUGGGGAAAUAUUCACAGCGUAAUAAAACAUUUUCUGCUCAGCAGUAACUACAGUAUAAUAGUUACUGUUCAGACAGGCUCAUGGACUGACCAACCUGGACAAAGAUCAGGACUCAUAUUAUGUUGCAGCCAAGAAAUAAUUGUGUUAGUUUUGGUAUUAUUUGAGCAAAGAUUCUUGAUUUCCAAAAGCAAAUUGAUUUAUCAUAUUUUGACUUCUAAGUGGACUGAAGGUCCCAGUGCAGCAAAUAUUCAUCAUUAUCCAAGGACAGCGACGUGCUGACAGUACUUCCCCCACGAGCAGCAGUCUGAAUGAUUUGCCUUUGAAUUUGAACACUUGUCAUGCUCAACUAUGGUGUUGCUGUAGGUAUCAUUCACACAGAGGGGAGUUUCUUUGUGUCAAACAUCUGAGUAUUUUUGUACUGGGACAAAGAUGUCUCUGCCCAUGAAUGAAAAUUAAAAUGGACAAGUAUUGUAGAAGAACGAAUGUUGGUAGAAGGAAAAAUUGUGGCAAGUUGAGGGGGGCAGAAGGACAAGUCAAUAAAAUUUGUAGGUUAACAGGCUAAAGUCAGGCUGUGUAAACACAUCAACAUCAAAUAUCAAUGCUAGGCAGCUUCUCUAGAAGAUAAAUGAAAAAUAUAAAUCAUUAAGCAACAUAAAAUGAGUAUGUCUACCACAUAAAACAACACUGAAUCUAGCCAGUGAAUUAUUUAUUCAUUAUUUGAAAGUUUAAUAGAUGCAGGCAUAAAUGUUUAUCUGUUUAGUUGUUGCACGUUGACUGAGUAGAUGAGCUUCUUCACUCGUUGUAUUUAUUAAACGCGCAAGAAAUAGCUCUCAUAUUUUGUUUUGUUUUUUUUCAUUCAAAUUAAUUGUUUUCUUAAAACUGUUAAAAGAUUAUAUGACAACCUUUUGCAUAAAAAAUGUUCAAAAUUGCCAGGUGGAAGGAAAUAUUAAUAUUAGCUUUAUCUUCAAUCAGAAUUUCCUGAGAACAAUAGAUUAUUAUAGUGAGUGUCAAUUCUCAGAUCAUCCAGUCAUUCAACUCAAUGAAAUACACUGCUUACUGAGGGCGGAGACUGCUGUGUAUAGAGACCAUCAGUUUUUGACUAAUCCCAUUAAUUCACCCUGGAUGCAGCCAGCGGGGGCAUAUGAGGUCAAGUGUCUUUCUGAACGACACUUCCAUGUAGACAGAGAGACCUGGGAUCGAACCUCUAAUGUAUUUCAAUUGAGAGACAGCUGACUCCACCAACUGAGCCACAGCCGCCUCCUCUGGAGUCAUAUCAGUCACUUAUUUAGCAGAAAUCCUAGUCCUUUAGUGUCCACAGCAAGAGAGAGCUUCUUUCGGCAGGAGGAAGCUGUCUCAAACUGGAUGGACUGGGAGACAGAGAUGGACAGAGACCAACAAUCAGAGUUAAUGUCCAGCUCAGUUUUAAACAGUUUACAGCUCAGGGUCAGGAGAUGUACCGUCUGUUGGCCUGAUAUCAUCACGCCACAUCCAGCAGGCGGGGCCAGACCAAGCAUCCACACACUCCCCUAAUCACGACAGCCACCAUGACAUUCAAACCAACAUGCUCACAUUGUUUCAUCUGCUCCCAGUGAAACAUCAGGGCCUGUCUCUUCAUGGGACACAAAUUCCUCUGGAUGUGUCCUCAGCCCCUUGGUCGCCGGCUCUGUUUGUGCAGAACCUUGUUUCAUUUGAAUAUCAAAGAGUUUAAGAGGGUGGCCAGACAAUUUCAGCUCUCAGCUCUGAGUCUUACACAGAGAAAUCUGACGGAGGCAACAAUGCAGGCUUUGUCAGAGAGAAGGAAGAGUGAGGUUUCUCAUGUUCAUGAAGGAGGUGAAAUCUUACAAAGCUCGUCUUUUUUUCUAUUUCUGUCGGCUCCUGAAUUUAUUAAGCAAAAGGGAUAAAGGGGUACACCGGUCAUGAUGUAGUCUCAGCUACAGAGCAGGGGUAAAAGGUGAUAUAAACACACACAGUGUCAGGAAUGUGUGGAGAAGAAUCAAAAACAAGAUUUUAUCACAGUUCUGAUUGUCUCCUUCAACACAGGUGGAAUAUUACCUGCACUGAAUUAUCAAUUUUUCUUCUUUAUCACCUCUUUGGCAUGGGGGAUGUUCAGAUGUACAACUGGGGGAGGGGGUCCUUUGAAAAAGUUAGACACAGAGGGCUCUAUUUUUGUACCCCAAAGUGGUGCAGUGCAGGGUGGCGCAGUGGUAUUUUAGUCUGGUGAAGCCCGGCGCACAAUCAGUUUGGUAUUUUCAUAGACUGAGGCGCUCCAAGGUGUGCUAAGCUGGGCAUGAUGGCAGGGUAGGGGGAUGUGUCGACAGAAUCAGCGGGCACAGUGACAUUUCAAUGCCUGCAGGCGGUGAAGAAAGUGCACUGAAAGCUCGCCGAUUCAAACCUGGUCAACUUUCAUUGCAGGCGAGCGCAGCAGGUCUCGUGGUAUUUUGGUAGACCAGCGGAGCAGUGCGCAUAUAUCACCGAUGCCUCACCAGCACGUUUCCACAGUGUCAGGCACAUUUCUGAGCAAUAAAUAAUCAACAACAACCAAUAUUCAGUGCAACAAGUUGAGUCAGCACAUACAUUUAGAUCUACAUCGAUAUAUUCUGAUCUACAUCUUAUUUGAUGAGCGCGACUGCUUGCUUCUCUAGUCAAGCUUUUUGGUUGAGGUUUGGGCAUGGAGAUGUAGACGUGGAUCUAAUUCAGUAACUGUUGAGUUAGCAGUUAAAAGUCCUGUUGGGGUCCACAUGGAUCAGAGAUUGACCAUCGGACUGUUCUGUGUUACUGAUAAACCCAUAACCAGGAAGUAUUUCUCAUCUACUCAAAUUGAUACACAGUCAGGAGUCCGCAUAUGGUGUUUUAUUUUGAAAUACCGGAUGACAUGCGCAGUUUCCAUGCUUGACUUUCUGGCUAGAACGUUCUUCUCUGUGUAGAUUGACACGUAUUGAAAGCAUAGAGCAGAAAAAUGGACUUGGCAUGUAUCUUUAGCAGAGCUCAUCUAUUUCCUCUGAUUUCUUUAUUUUAAUGGUUUUUCCUCAAAUUUGUUGCCUUACUCUUGCAUUGCCAACCAGAUCAUCUUUAUUUUUCCCUUCCUUAAUUUACUUAAUUGUAACACUCUCAUGGUCCUUUUGGUCUCAGUUCAGUUCAGUUUCAUGUUGUUGGGUUCUUGUCUUGCCUGGGCUCUAGUGGGUUUUAACAGUUUCUUGUAAUGAUAAACCAAAUUGUUGUUUGUGUUGUUUUAGUGUUGUUGGAUCAGAAGUUUCACUUGGUUUAGGGCACAUUUAAACUUUAAAAUUGUCUAAAGCCGCGUUCAGACCAAACACGACCUGAAGCGACCUAGUCGCUUGGUCGCUGUAAUUGCGUCGCGCCCUGGUGUGUUCACACCGGGUCCAAAGCUGCAGUCGCGGAGGUCACAGGACGUGGCUGGUUGCCGAUGACCCGCUUCUCCUACCUUCCUUCUCCCUCCUUUUCUCCCUCAUAUAUACAUCCCACAGCCCCUUCCAGCGCUUGCGGCACACAUCCACUGCAAAGACACACACAGACGUUGAAACAUGUAGCCUAGCAAGCAGGGGAAGUUUGCUAUGUUUUCAGAAAAUAGUCUGCUCACUGAAAUAAAUAAACAAACAAACUUACCGGAAAGCCCGACAUCAUGGGCCACCUUCGCCCAUGCUUCUUCCUUGGAGGUGCGGUCCCGGUAGAACGCGCACCCCACAUUGUACAGGACCGGGUGAUAACACACGGCAGUGAUAAGCUGCUCCUCCAUUGUGAUUCUUCUUCUCCUCCUCCUUGCUUCGUGGGUGUGUUGAUGUCAGCAGAGCCCUGAUUGGCUCACAUGGCACGGAGUCGUGGAAAGUUGCUCCCAAAAUUCAAAUAUUUGAACUUUGGGAGCGACACGACUUGGCGUCCUGUGAUCUCGGGUGACCUACGCGACCAUGCGCGACCUGGUCGCGUAGGUCACUCACGUUGCCGGCAGCCAGCGGUCGCCUAGUCGUGUCAGGUCGCGGCUGUACAUAGACUUUGCAUUGGGAGUCGUUGCUCAAGUUGCCGAGGUCGCGUUUGGUCUGAACGCGGCUUAAUACUCAUUUUAUUUAGGGAGAGCCAACAUAAUCAUGCUUGUUAUCCUAAAAAUUGUGCAGCCCUAGCUGCAGGUUUACCCAACACUGAACCAGCCACUGUCAGAGUUCUCAAAAAAAAGAAAAAGUCAUCAAUGAAGGCUAUGUUUUUAGCAGAUAAAGGUUUUUGUGGUUUUGGUUAAAAUAAUUUAAAAUGAACUUAAUUGAUCAGGGUUGUGUCAGAAGAAACCAUUGCAGUAGAACUAAAGGAGAAAAUCAGCAUUUCCUUGUGAACUUCUGUCUUUCCAAAAAGGAUUUUGCAACAUUAAAAUCCCAUAAUCUCCCUCCUUUCCUCCUCUCUUUACUCUCCUCCAGCCUUAAACUUUUUCAAACUGGCUGUUUGAGCACACAUAAUAGCAGGUUAAGCUGUGUGUUUCCAUGUUAAAGACUGUGAGCUGUUUGUUCUGUAUCUGAUAUCUGUUACAUUUUAAAAAAAACAAAGUGCAUGUCCAAAAGGAGAUCAGAACAGAACAUUAAAUCUAAAUAAGAUCACUGAGGCAUUGAAGCUUUCAGAGAACAGAUUAGGAGCUGGACUGAUGACAGCGUGUUGGAGGAAAUGAAGGAUGACGGUUCAAAAAGCCUUUUCAGCAGAUGUGUGUCGCACUCACUGAGACGCUGACGGUAGAAAAACCAAAACUGGGCUGUAGUUGGUUGGUUUGGUUAGUUGGAGCUGCAGGAAGACGUGUUUUACUGUCUCUGGGAUAUUUGUGGUUGUGAGGGGUUGGGGAUGGUGGUGUGAAAAUGCAUUUCUUUAGUUUGUAAACAUCCUUACUCCCUCCUAGCUGAAUAGAGAAGUGUGCUUGUGGUCUGGAAAAUGUUAAACUUUUAAUGUAUGACAGAGUAAAAAGAAAAAAAAAGUGGGGUUCAACUGUGCAGGGCUGAUUCAUCUGUUUUCUAUCAACUACAUCAGGGCUGAACUCUUUCUGAGAUGACACGCUCAAACAAGCAAAUAAAAGAGGAAAACUGCAUUCAGCGUAUGCAGUUCAUAUACAUGGAUCCAAGAAAGGCCACAUGUUCAAUUUAAGGCACGCAACUUGGACUAAUUCAGAUAUGCAGACGAUUCCUAAAGCAGGCAUCUCAUUCUGCAAACUGAGGGUUAAAAAUGUGGUUUAAAACUUUCCAAAGUCAGAUGUUGUUUAACGAAUCUGACUCUGUGUUGUUUAAAUAAGGAGAAACUUGUUCAGAUUUAACUGUUCAACAGACAACAGACAAAUGUAGCAUGUGAUGUAGCCCAUAGCAACAGAAAUGUAAACAAAGGGUUGUGUAGUCAAGACCAGCCAUGUUAAAUGACAUCUCAUGGUCCUAUAUUACAGCUGUGCAGAGAGAGGAUCGAGGAGAGAGGAAGGAAGUUGGAGGAAUGACAACCAGAGAUUUAACAGGAGCAGCCUUCACACAGCCCUGUACCAACCAUCACUCUCUGAUGGGAGAAAAGACAGACCUUAGAACAAUCAGGGUUAGGUUUGAAGCAGAUCAUUCUGUAAUUUGGUUCAUAAUGAGCUGUGAAUAAAACGUUUGGCCCAAACCUUCAUUUGCCUUCAUGAAUUUGCAGAAUGUACGUAGAUCAUCCGAACGCGCAAAAUACUGAGAGGAGCAGAUGCAAAUGAAAUCAUUUAGCACCUGCAAUGUGAUUUAUCAAACCCUGGAACUGAUUGUGGUCGCCGUUUUGCGUCUUUAUUUAGCACGUUUGAAAGGCACAAACAAACUGGUACAGCGUCACGCACAAAAGCCUGCGGUCAUUGUGGGAAGAAGGAGGCAAAAGUGCAAUGAUAGACAUAUUUAGACAGUCAGAAAUAAAAAUAGUAGAGAAGUAGUAAUAGUAAUGCCAUAUUUGAGCUGCUGGGUGACCUAAGGGCUGAUUUAGAGCCAGUCACAAAAAUGAUCCAUGUCAUAUAUCCUAUUGAAAAACUCCUUGUAACACUUAAUCUUCCUGUGUCUGGAUCAUUCCAGCACACCAUCACAGUUAGUGCAUCUCUCAGAGUAGUUUUUUCUAGUGUGCUGUCCAACAGGUUGAAAGCUAUGUCACACAGGAUGGGCAAGUAUAUUCACUUCCUACACACUCCGGACGCAGUAAAUGACAGAAAACACGGCAGGCCUUGGAGAACUGUUGACUCUUGGAGAAUGAGUGCUGUAGAGCUCCAGGUCUAAAAGCUUGUGACUUAUUUAAUUUUUCUGGUAAAUGGUGGCUCACAUAAAUAAUUAGGUUAAACACGCAACAGACAAAAAACAUUUAUCUGAUUGUUUUAUUGAUUUUAAAUUAUUUUAAUCUCUUUUUUCAUUUCUUAUAUAUUUUCUUGCAUGGAGAAAGCACUUUGAAUUGUAUAAAUGGUGCUGUAGUCUACAAAUAAACUUGCCUUGCCUGCCUUGCCUUAUACAUAGUUCCCCAAAAUGAUAUGUGCAACUCCAUGGCUUCAAACGUCAUUUUUGGCUAAAACCACAACAUGCACACUUAUAGCAUGUGCAAUUUUUUAGUUUGCGCAUGCAAUUUAGCGCCCUUUAUUUGGGGUCUUAGUAGAUCAGACCCUAAGAGUGAUUUAUAAAACGAACAUGAAAUGGCAAAGAAGUAGAAGAGCCUGCCCUUGUGAGGGAUACUGGGGUACCCCCCAAAGCCAGACCUUAGGAGGAUGCUGGACUGGUAAGGUGACUGGGCUUUUCUCCAUGGGGCUUAAGCCCAGAGAAACAACAUGCAGUUGCCUUGUGGCCCCACCACAUUGGCAUGAGGUAAGGUGCACUGUAAGCAUGGCUUACACAGAUGGCUCUCAAGGCAGUAAGCCAAGGCCUUGCUGGCAGCAUGGACUAAAAUUAAUAGAUGGACUGGUAAAUUGAUGUAGCAUCUGCAGUACUGUUGGGGUUGUGCCAGAUUGUCAAGGGGAAAAGAGAAAAUCUUUCAAUUUACCAGUCAAUCUUUGUUCAAAACCCUGACCUUUGGUCAUUAACCCUGGGUUGCAACUGGAAGAAUGAGAUCAGGGAUUCAAGCAGCCUAAAUUAGUUUCCUCAGAAGGGUGUCUAGGCUCAGUCUUGGAGAUAGGUUUAAAAGCUCAGACAUCUGGAGAGUAGAGCCUCUGAAUGUUCACACCAUUAGGAGUCAGCUGGGGUGUUCUGGGCAUUGGACAAGGAUGCCUCCUGGACACCUUCUUUUGGAGUUGUUCUGGGCAUGAGGAGACCUCAGGAUAGGCCCAGAGUUUACUGGAGGGUCUACAUACCUUACCUGGCCUGGGAACACCUGAGAACCCCAGUGGAGGAACUGGGGAGUGUUGCUGAAGGGAGAGUGGUCUUACUUGGACUGCUGCCCCCACAAUUUAUGGCUGGCUGGCUGGCUGGCUGGCUGGAUGGAUGGAUGGAUGGAUGGAUGGAUCACAGACAGACAGACGGACGGAUGGGUUGAUGGACAUGCUAAAAGACAUUUCCCUCCAUUUCUAUCCGAUCUCAUGCAGAGGAUAUACCAGAUGAUAUUUGUAACAAAUACAAAGGGUGUGAUUUGGAGGUAAGACCAUUCACUUCAGUUCAACCUCUGAUAGUCAAAAAAGAUGCAGAAGAUGUUCAAAUGAUGUUUAAAAAUAUUAAAUGUUCCAAAUCAACAAUAAGAACUUAAGAUACGAUCCUUCACGUGGAGUUAAUAAAUGAGGAGAGAAAUGUUUGAGAUCUGAAGUUCACCAUUUUCGAAAGUGAGACCUUUUUUUUUUUUACGUCAUUUUACGAAAACACCUCAUUAUGCUGUUGUUUAUGAGCGUGUGUGUGUGUGUGUGUGUGUGUGUGUGUGUGUGUGAAUUUACAGCUGUUUUCAUGUUCUCUCAGAGGUGGCUCACGUUCCCACACCGUGUAAACUCUGAUGGAGAACAUGAUGUGAUUUAUGUGAAGAUGAAGACCAUCUGAUUGGUUCAAGGUGGGGUUCAAUAACAGAACCUUAUGUAUGUACACUGUUAUUGAUCCCUGCUUGUGCACAAACUGUACAUUUACACAAACACAGACACACACAACCACACAUACAAAAAGCCAUCUGGCCUACAUAGACUAAGAGCUUCCUCUGCCAGCAGGGCUGUAAUGAAAUCAAGAUGCAGACAAGUUCCUGGGAAAGAAACAUGGGAAGGAAAUGUUCACAAACACAAACACAGUGUUUCAAACCUGUUUCACACACACCACAAAAACACACAUAAUACAACAAAAGCUGUGCACCCUUUUCAAAGAGAGCAGGAUUUAAAACAGACACAAAGUCAUGUCUCUAUCAGCAGAAUAAGGAACAUACAGAAUAUCAGUGAUUAAUAUCCUGGUUGAUUUGGAGUUAAUGUGCUUUUAACCAGACAUGUUGUGCUGUCAUCACCCUCAUUAAUAAAAUGAGUUAAGCCUAUUUCUAUAUUUGUUUGCACUUUAAAACCCAGUUAUGAUAGUGUGACAUCAAGUUGAACUUCUUGUAAAAACAGUAAACCAUGUAUUUUUUAGUCAAUAAAAUAUCUAAAUGCAUCAUUGCUUUAGCUUCCAAUAAAGACUGUCUGGUUCCUGACUAAACUUCAGGCUGUAAACAUGUUUAUUACUCAAGUCAAAUCGGACAUUUGAACAUGGGGCUCUAUGGGGACCGACUCACUGUGAUGAAACUAAAAAGUUUUUUCAAAAACACAAACUCCCAGCUCACUGUAAAC